RNAcentral lists this transfer RNA (71 nucleotides) under Candidatus Omnitrophota bacterium. RNAcentral's name for it is "tRNA-Val". It matches the Rfam family "tRNA". From Rfam's summary of the family: Transfer RNA (tRNA) molecules are approximately 80 nucleotides in length. Their secondary structure includes four short double-helical elements and three loops (D, anti-codon, and T loops). The record is from RNAcentral. Lineage: Bacteria; Pseudomonadati; Candidatus Omnitrophota.
GGGCGAUUAGGCUAGUGGCAAACCACCUCGUUUACACCGAGAUGUUCGCGGUUCGAUCCCGCGCGCGCCCA